Long non-coding RNA from Nylanderia fulva, 675 nucleotides. RefSeq lists it as uncharacterized. Lineage: Eukaryota; Metazoa; Arthropoda; Insecta; Hymenoptera; Formicidae. The record is from RefSeq and is a predicted model, not a curated record.
AGAAAGAAAGAGAAUGAACAAGUCUCCGGAGGCCAUUUUGUACACCCAGCGCGAUGUGCGGUAUUGAUUUGUUCUGUCAACUCAGGCCAGGCACUCGGGCGAUCCAUGCCGGCGCCUGGGUUUUAACGUGCUAGGGUCAAGCAACACCAGGGGCCGCGCCGUGGACCGUCUCGCACCAGGAGUCGCGUCGACGUUGGCGUCCCGUCGAUUGAUAAGUGGUGAAGUCUCGCAACACUGUCGGGGCCGAUGGGAACGGCUAUGACACUUGACAAACACUAGCGCCGUUUAUUGAGCGUGCCUGUGGCAGUGCGCUCGGCGUUGCGCGUUUCCGCGCAUGCGCUACUCGAGAACCUGGCCAAUGGGAGCAUCCAAUACCGUGUCGAUAUACGCGCACUCUAAAAGCCGAUCCACAAUGAAGCUUUCAAACGAGAAAACUUAAGCGCAAAUAACAUGCCCGUAUGUCCAAAAUUCAUCGCCAACGCUGAAAAUCUAUGGAUUUGAGCAAUCAGCGCAGGAUCAUUUUGAUUCUGUUGCGAAAACAAGGAAUUUAAUCGAUGCAUUUUUAUUUUCUUUCCAAUAUUAAAUAAAAAAAUUAAUCUUGAAUUAGUGUGCAGCCAGUUCAGCUAAAACAAACAGAUUUAUAGUAAUGAUUAUUUAAAAUUAAGUGAAGUUAAA